Molecule: long non-coding RNA, 2160 nt
Organism: Oncorhynchus keta (chum salmon)
Lineage: Eukaryota; Metazoa; Chordata; Actinopteri; Salmoniformes; Salmonidae
Exons: 3
Source: RefSeq, a predicted model, not a curated record
UGCCUUAGUGUACGUUGUGGAACGUUGAGUCCAAUAUAACCUAUUUUUAAAACCUCUUAUGGAGUUGAUUUUGUAGCAUAGACAGUGAAUUAGAUAUUUUUGACUGAUAUUAUGAUUGUCUGUUUGUUUCAUAUCUGAAAAGGAGUUAAAACUAUAGGUUCACCACUGUACUAACCUGUCACACACUGAAGACCUAUAGGUUCACCACUGUACUAACCUGUCACACACUGAAGGUCCUAUAGGUUCACACACUGAAGGUCCUAUAGGUUCACACACUGAAGGUCCUAUUGGUUCACCACUGUACUAACCUGUCACACACUGAAGACCUAUAGGUUCACCACUGUACUAACCUGUCACACACUGAAGACCUAUAGGUUCACACACUGAAGGUCCUAUAGGUUCACACACUGAAGGUCCUAUUGGUUCACACAUUGAAGGCCUAUUGGUUCACACACUGAAGGCCUAUAGGUUCACCACUGCACAAACAUGACUAUAAUAGAUAUAAAGGUUGUAUUCAUGUUUCAAGAAAGGAGUGUAUAUAUUUGGCUUGGCAAAGCGGUUUUAGGGCUGACUAAAUGGAACCUGAUAAUGAGUUUUUUACUUCGCUGGUCUCGGCUGAUCUCGGGAAGAAAUUAUGAGUCCUCACUGUCCGAGAUCGAGUCAAGACCUAGUACAAAUGUAUUCAACACCGAGACAAGACCGAUACACUCAAUAUGUGGUCUCAAGACCGUAUUACUACAACACUGGAAAAUAGGUUUAUAUAUUUUGUUUGUAUGUACAGAACAUGGCCAAAAGUAUGUGGACACCCUUUCAAAUUAGUGUAUUCAGCUAUUUCAGCCACACCCGUUGCUGACCAGUGUAUACAAUUGAGCACACAGCCAUGCAAUCUCCAUAGACAAACAUUGGCAGUAGAAUGGCCCGUAGUGAAGAGCUCAGUCACUUUUAACGUGGCACCGUCAUAGGACACCACCUUUCCAACAAGUCAGUUUGUAAUAUUUCUGCCCUGCUAAAGCUGCCCCGGUUAACUCUAAGUGCUGUUAUUGUGAAGAGGAAAUGUCUAGGAGCAACAGCGGCUCAGCCGCUAAGUAGUAGGCCACACAAGCUCACAGAAGGGAACCGCCGAGUGCUGAAGCGCAUAGCGCAUAAAAAUUGUCUGUCCUCGGGUGCAACACCCACUACCGAGUCCCAAACUGCCUCUGGAAGCAAUGUCAGCACAAGAACUGCUCGCCCGGAGCUUCAUGAAAUGGGUUUCCAUUGCCGAGCAGCCACACACAAGCCUAAGAUCCCCAUACGCAAUGCCAAGUGUCGACUGGAGUGGUUUAAAGCUCUUCGCCAUUGGACCCUGGAGCAGUGGAAACGUUCUCUGGAGUAAUGAAUCAGGAGGAAUAAUGGUCUGGGCUGUUUUUCAUGGUUCGGGCGAGGCCCCUUAGUUCCAGUGAAGGGAAAUCUUAACCAUACAGCAUACAAUGACAUUCUAAACGAUUCUGUGCUUCCAACUUCCAACAUACAUUUUUUUAGGGGGAUUGGUGUGGAAGAACUUGACUGCCCUGCACACAGCCCUGACCUCAACAACAUCAAACACCUUUGGGAUGAAUUGGAACGCCGACUGCGAGCCAGGCCUAAUCGGCUAACAUCAGUGCCCAACCUCACUAAUGCUCUAGUGGCUGAAUGGAAGCAAGUCCCCGCAGCAAUUUUCAAACAUCUAGUGGAAAACCUUCCCAGAAAAGUGGAGGCUGGGAGGGGGGACCAACUCCAUAUUAAUGCCCAUGAUUUUGGAAGGAGGUGUGCGACAAGCAGGUGUCCACAUACUUUUGGCCAUGUAGUUUAAGUGUUGGGCUUUAUAGAUUGUUUAUAUGUAUGUGUUGGGCUUUACAAUCAUGCACCUGAGCUCAAUUUCGAGUCUGAAUACUUAUGUAAAUAAGUUAUUUCUGUUUUUUAUUUUUAAUACAUUUGCAAACAUUUUCAAAAAACUGUUUUUGCUUUGUCAUUUGUCAUUGUGUGUAGAUUGCUAAAAAUGCCAAGGUCAUAUUUGUCCAUAUUCUGUUCCAGUUAAAGGGUUGUUCAGAUUCACUUAGAUCUGUGGAAGUACAGUAGCUUAUUAAUAAGAUACACUAUAGGCAGUUUUGUCUUUGCAACAAAUAAAUAUCUAUUCUCUCCUAA